RNAcentral lists this ribosomal RNA (461 nucleotides) under Pseudomonas taiwanensis. Its description in RNAcentral is "bacterial SSU rRNA". It matches the Rfam family "Bacterial small subunit ribosomal RNA", at positions 41 to 497 of the family's 1533-position model. The record is from RNAcentral. Lineage: Bacteria; Pseudomonadati; Pseudomonadota; Gammaproteobacteria; Pseudomonadales; Pseudomonadaceae.
GGCAGGCCUAACACAUGCAAGUCGAGCGGAUGACGGGAGCUUGCUCCUUGAUUCAGCGGCGGACGGGUGAGUAAUGCCUAGGAAUCUGCCUGGUAGUGGGGGACAACGUUUCGAAAGGAACGCUAAUACCGCAUACGUCCUACGGGAGAAAGCAGGGGACCUUCGGGCCUUGCGCUAUCAGAUGAGCCUAGGUCGGAUUAGCUAGUUGGUGAGGUAAUGGCUCACCAAGGCGACGAUCCGUAACUGGUCUGAGAGGAUGAUCAGUCACACUGGAACUGAGACACGGUCCAGACUCCUACGGGAGGCAGCAGUGGGGAAUAUUGGACAAUGGGCGAAAGCCUGAUCCAGCCAUGCCGCGUGUGUGAAGAAGGUCUUCGGAUUGUAAAGCACUUUAAGUUGGGAGGAAGGGCAGUAAGYUAAUACCUUGCUGUUUUGACGUUACCGACAGAAUAAGCACCGGC